RNAcentral lists this transfer RNA (72 nucleotides) under Camelus bactrianus (Bactrian camel). It matches the Rfam family "tRNA". Rfam says of the family: Transfer RNA (tRNA) molecules are approximately 80 nucleotides in length. Their secondary structure includes four short double-helical elements and three loops (D, anti-codon, and T loops). Further hydrogen bonds mediate the characteristic L-shaped molecular structure. tRNAs have two regions of fundamental functional importance: the anti-codon, which is responsible for specific mRNA codon recognition, and the 3' end, to which the tRNAs corresponding amino acid is attached (by aminoacyl-tRNA synthetases). tRNAs cope with the degeneracy of the genetic code in two manners: having more than one tRNA (with a specific anti-codon) for a particular amino acid; and 'wobble' base-pairing, i.e. permitting non-standard base-pairing at the 3rd anti-codon position. Lineage: Eukaryota; Metazoa; Chordata; Mammalia; Artiodactyla; Camelidae. RNAcentral also lists the same sequence under 3 other names. The record is from Rfam by way of RNAcentral.
CGGGAUAUAGCUCAGUGGUAGAGUGUGUGCUUAGCACGCACGAGGUCCUGGGUUCAAUCCCCAGUACCCUCA